This 253-nucleotide ribosomal RNA is filed under the name uncultured bacterium. Its description in RNAcentral is "partial 16S ribosomal RNA". It matches the Rfam family "Bacterial small subunit ribosomal RNA", at positions 524 to 776 of the family's 1533-position model. The record is from RNAcentral.
UACAUAGGGGUCAAGCGUUGUCCGGAUUUAUUGGGCGUAAAGCGUUUGUAGGCGGCUAAGUAAGUCAGGCGUGCAAGCCCGUGGCUCAACCACGGAAUUGCGUUUGAUACUGUUUAGCUUGAGUGCAGGAGAGGAAAGCGGAAUUCCCAGUGUAGCGGUGAAAUGCAUUGAUAUUGGGAGGAACAUCUGUGGCGAAGGCGGCUUUCUGGUCUGUUACUGACGCUGAGAUACGAAAGCCAGGGUAGCGAACGGG